AUGAAGUUCAGUUGGAAAAAUUCCAAGUUGCUACUGAGCUCUUCAAUCUCUUGGAGAAUCGGUGCAAUUUCUGAUCUUCCCUGCUCUCGACUCCUCCAGAGGUUGACUACCUCUCUCGCAUCAGUUUCUAUUGUGAUGUUGCCGAGGCCUAGAUCACAAGCCAGUUUAGUUCCAUCCCUAACAGCAAAAGCUUCCAUAAUCAAAGCAUUUUCAGCUUGCCCAUACCAUAAAGCUUGGCCUCUGAUCAAGGAUCCAGAAUGGUCACGUAGGACUAGACCCGUAGCUCCCUCAUUCGAGUUCACCUGGAUCGGAGAGGAAUGCUAG
RNAcentral lists this ribosomal RNA (324 nucleotides) under Triticum aestivum (bread wheat). RNAcentral describes it as "partial small subunit ribosomal RNA". The record is from RNAcentral. Lineage: Eukaryota; Viridiplantae; Streptophyta; Magnoliopsida; Poales; Poaceae.